GUCCAUUCGAACUAGGGUCAUGGACUUGUGCCAGUAACUUCGAAUCAAGAGUUGAAAUUGAUUAGCCGUAGAGAGAACGAAUUUCAACUCAAAGAAUCCUCAACUGGGUUCAUGGCAAAAUGUAAAACACUGCUUUUGUCUUUUCUCGUACGGUAAUAUCGUGUUGGUUUGAACUGAUCACGAGUUCGACAUGGACUACAUUUAUUAGACCAUUAUAAUUUGGGAUUGGAAGUAGAGAUGUAAGUUAAUUUUUAUCUCUUAUUGAACUCUUAUUCCUAGUUCCUUAGUCGUCAAAUUUUCAUGUAAUUGUCAUGUUUAGCAGUUUUAACUGUUAUUUCCCAUCUUUCGAUUUAUAAUAUAAUGUCGAAAUCCACAUAAAAACAUGUUUUAUUUUUUACGGUAUUCCGUUUUGACGUCUAUGGCAUUGAUGGGGCAUUUGUAUAUGAUAUGAGAGAAAAUGUAAAAAAUAUAUAAGAAAAAGCAUAAAGAUGGAAUACAAUACAUCAACACCGGCUGAUGUCAAACAAUGAAAACAAAAAACAUAUAAAUAGACUGAAGCGAGAAAGAGAACUGUAUGACUCCAACAGAAGUACGAAAAUAACAAAGCAACGAAUCUCCGCUUACACCAACAUGAGGUCUGUCUCUAUUCUAACAAUGGCCUGCCACGUGAGGAAUCGAGAAAAUACUACCAGUGGUUUUACUUGGAAGGUGGUGGAGAUAGGACUGGGAUUGUAGGAAUUGAAGGGAUCUUUGGAACGGAGGGAAAAGAAGGCAUUGGGGGCAAUGCGACUUUGGGCAUGCCGGGAAUGGUAGGAAUAGUUGGCUGUGUUGGAAUGGUUGGAAUAGAAGGCAUUGGUGGCACGGCUGGUUUAGGGAGACUUGGGAUGGUGGGAAGUGAUGGCAUUGGUGGCAAAGUUGGCUUUGGUAAUGUUGGAAUAGAUGGCAUUCCCGGCAGAGGGGGAGGAAAUGAUUGCAGCAGAGUACGCGCAGCCUCGCAUUUUUUAUAAUUGGCGGUGACUAUAACUGCAAGGAUGAAAAUGCAAGUGUAAAUACUUCUAACCAUGAUAAUUCAAAGAUUAAAAUGAAGGUUUUUUUUUUUUUUUUUUUUUUUCCUAAUCAAUUGGGACAGGAGAAGUUUUG
RNAcentral lists this long non-coding RNA (1140 nucleotides) under Olea europaea subsp. europaea. The record is from RNAcentral. Lineage: Eukaryota; Viridiplantae; Streptophyta; Magnoliopsida; Lamiales; Oleaceae.